RNAcentral lists this ribosomal RNA (254 nucleotides) under uncultured bacterium. RNAcentral describes it as "partial 16S ribosomal RNA". It matches the Rfam family "Bacterial small subunit ribosomal RNA", at positions 524 to 776 of the family's 1533-position model. The record is from RNAcentral.
UACGGAGGGGGCUAGCGUUGUUCGGAAUUACUGGGCGUAAAGGGCGCGUAGGCGGCGCGAUAAGUUGGGCGUGAAAGGCCCGGGCUCAACCCGGGGACUGCGCUUGAUACUGUCGCGCUGUGAGUCCGGGAGAGGAUGGCGGAAUUCCCAGUGUAGAGGUGAAAUUCGUAGAUAUUCGCAAGAACACCAGUGGCGAAGGCGGCUCACUGGCCCGAUACUGACGCUGAGGCACGAAAGCGUGGGGAGCAAACAGG